RNAcentral lists this transfer RNA (83 nucleotides) under Schistocephalus solidus. It matches the Rfam family "tRNA". Rfam says of the family: Transfer RNA (tRNA) molecules are approximately 80 nucleotides in length. Their secondary structure includes four short double-helical elements and three loops (D, anti-codon, and T loops). Lineage: Eukaryota; Metazoa; Platyhelminthes; Cestoda; Diphyllobothriidea; Diphyllobothriidae. The record is from Rfam by way of RNAcentral.
GGCCUCGUAGCUCAGUUGACUAGAUCAUUAACUGUACUAAAGCCUUCCACUUGCAAGCGUGGGUUCAAAUCCCAUCGAGGUCG